RNAcentral lists this ribosomal RNA (440 nucleotides) under uncultured bacterium. RNAcentral describes it as "partial 16S ribosomal RNA". It matches the Rfam family "Bacterial small subunit ribosomal RNA", at positions 338 to 795 of the family's 1533-position model. The record is from RNAcentral.
CCUACGGGAGGCAGCAGUAGGGGAUAUUGCUCAAUGGGGGAAACCCUGAAGCAGCAACGCCGCGUGGGGGAUGAAGGUUUUCGGAUUGUAAACUCCUUUUGUUAGAGAAGAUUAUGACGGUAUCUAACGAAUAAGCCCCGGCUAACUCCGUGCCAGCAGCCGCGGUAAUACGGAGGGGGCAAGCGUUACUCGGAAUCACUGGGAGGAAAGGGUGCGGAGGCGGGGUAAUAAGUCAGAUGUGAAAUCCUGUAGCUUAACUACAGAACUGCAUUUGAAACUGUUACUCUGGAGUGUGGGAGAGGUAGGUGGAAUGCUUGGUGUAGGGGUAAAAUGCGUAGAGAUCAAGAGGAAUACUCAUGGCGAAGGCGACCUGCUGGACCAUUACUGACGCUGAUGCACGAAAGCGUGGGGAGCAAACAGGAUUAGAUACCCCAGUAGUC